Molecule: small nuclear RNA, 125 nt
Organism: Trichosurus vulpecula (common brushtail)
Lineage: Eukaryota; Metazoa; Chordata; Mammalia; Diprotodontia; Phalangeridae
Source: RefSeq, a predicted model, not a curated record
GUGUUAUAUGAGGGGAGAGGUUAACAGCUUCCCUUGAUGAGGAUGGAGAAGUCUUAGUGAAUUUUGCCAUGCAGAGAUGGUUAAGGUAUUGGCACCUACUCUGUGGUAUCUAGUUCGCUGCUUGG